Molecule: long non-coding RNA, 1307 nt
Organism: Haliotis rufescens (red abalone)
Lineage: Eukaryota; Metazoa; Mollusca; Gastropoda; Lepetellida; Haliotidae
Exons: 4
Source: RefSeq, a predicted model, not a curated record
CACCGAUCGUCCUUACAUAUCUUCAAAGCAAACGAAAGCACUGGACCCUAUAUGUAACUAUGAUGUGAUUUCAGCCACUGUUGCAAGAGAACGGGUGAUUGGUGAGUGCUGGAAAAAUCACUCAAAGGAGAAAUGGGCCAACAAGGACACUUUGCGAGCAGCCUUCAAGAACAUUUGGAUGAACAGGAGGGAUGGCCAUAGCCGCAGCAUCACCGGGAAGAAAGAAGAACACAGGCGAGCAGCCAGGAGGAACAGCAAAACUGAAGUCCCGUCAGAACUCACUGGACCAGUGCCCCAAGCCAGCAGCCUGGAAGGAACGCGUACAAGAUGUCCUCACCCGGGAGUGUACCUCUCCAGAUGUAAGCGAUGAUGAGCAGCCUGGGAUGAGGUGGGUCCUUGAAAUGCAGUGGGAGUCAUAAAGAAGUAUUUAGAUGAACGAACCGAGGCUGCUCUGAAGCAUGUGAAAAGACCACCCAAGGCCAAGCUGGAAUACGACCCGACGAGGAGAUGUGAGGAGCCCAUGCCGAAGAAGUUGCCGUCUUGGGCCAUUCGAUCCACGCACAGGAGAGAUGGUAUAUGCCACACACUCUUUUUCAGACUUGUGGGACCAAAAAAAGUAAAUUUUAAUAUUCACAUUUGGAAUAAUAAAAUCGUGACCUUUCAUUUUGAGACCAACCAUUUUAUAUUCUUGGGGUGGAGCUGGGAUUUUGUGUGACAACUACACAUCUUUUUCAGCUGAAGCUGCAAAACCAGAUAUUUUUUACUGAAAAACACCUAGCAACAAUGUAACUUUUGUGGCAGAACAUUCCCUUUUUUCAACAGUCUGGAGUCAAUACUUUUUCCAUAAAAUCCGACACCCACACCUCUUGAAUAUCAAAAAGUCGGUCCCAAACAGACGUAUGUUAACUUCAGUUUAAUUUGAUCGACAUUUUUCUUUGGAAAUGAAAGCAAUGAAUGUGGCAAUAUUGCAGAUAUCUUGAGAGGGGAACUACAGUUACAGAUUUCUUGCAUUGUACUUGUGUGAGCCCAGCUUAUGUCAUCUUUUCAUCGGAGUAUCAAAAUGAGCUUUCAAUGUGGAGGUUGUGGUAUUUCCAGCUAAGGUUUGCUCGAGUCCUGCCCCAGUCAGCCAACACCCAACAGGACAAGUGAACAGUAGGUUAGACCGAGAUGCAAGGAUCGAGAGACUGAAGCAGCAGCUUGCUACUGGCAGAAGAUCAGUGAUCCAGUUUCUGGAUGCAGUUGGACAUCUCAUCAAAUUACAGUAAUAUUGCUAGUAAUGAUGUAGUGCUAAUGUUAUAAAACAUGAA